UUUGAAUGAAUUUUUGUACACGUCAGUAAAUAUUGCCACGUGUAAGCCAUGUGUAAGUCACAUUAACACCCGUUAGUCUAGUUGGCAGAUUUAUUAACGGCAGAGGCAUGAUUGACCCAAGAAAUAUAACGUUAAGGGUAUUUUUGGACAAAAAAAAAGUAUAGGGUGUUCGGUAGACAUCGCGGUAAAAAUUGGGGGUAUUUUUGACCAUUCUCCCUGUAAUAAAGUAAUACUCCAUCCGUCCCAAAUUAAUUGCUCAAUUUUAACUUUUUAAAGUCAAAUUGACCAUUUUUAAAACUAAUCUUUUUACUAUUUUUGUUAAAAUAUAGGUGAAGAGAUUAUGUAAGACCCCAAAUUAUUAAUAAAUGAAAUUUAUUUUCCUCUAUUUAUUAUUUUAAAAUAGUAAGGGUUGAUUUGAUUAAUGUGGAUAGUUAUGGGUAAAAUACGCAAAUAUUUCGAAUAAGCAAGUGGUUAUAAAAUAUUCAUUAUUGUCGGGGAAUAUUCGUUUGGUCGUGGAAUAUUCGUACUGUCGGGGAAUAUUCG
This 543-nucleotide long non-coding RNA is filed under the name Panax ginseng (ginseng). RNAcentral describes it as "long non-coding RNA (PGIN_LNC018057)". The record is from RNAcentral. Lineage: Eukaryota; Viridiplantae; Streptophyta; Magnoliopsida; Apiales; Araliaceae.